AUGGAUCUUCUCCAGUUUGUGCUCACCUUUAAAGGCACACCACCAUGGCUGAACUCGACGGCCAUUACCACCCUUACGGACCGUUGGAGGCCGGAGACGCACUCUUUUCACCUUGCUCUUGGUGAGAUGACCGUCACUUUGGAGGAUAUUGCGAUGAUCUCCGGUCUUCCGAUCGAGGGCAGGGCUCUUACCGGGAAGGUGAAGUCUGAGGGGUGGCAACAAAGGGUUGCAGGUUUGGUUGGUGUUGAACCUCCCCUGUGGAUUCAUGAAACAAAGAAGGAUCGUGGCCAUCUGGUGUUCUGUUCUCGUGGCUACAAGGACAUUUUUACGAGUGCCCAGAGAAUGCCAGUCCGGCUGUUGUGGAGAGGUACGCCAGGGCUUACUUAUGGAAUCUUUUGA
This 399-nucleotide ribosomal RNA is filed under the name Triticum aestivum (bread wheat). RNAcentral's name for it is "partial small subunit ribosomal RNA". Lineage: Eukaryota; Viridiplantae; Streptophyta; Magnoliopsida; Poales; Poaceae. The record is from RNAcentral.